Molecule: ribosomal RNA, 736 nt
Filed under: uncultured Curtobacterium sp.
Lineage: Bacteria; Bacillati; Actinomycetota; Actinomycetes; Micrococcales; Microbacteriaceae
Description: bacterial SSU rRNA
Rfam family: Bacterial small subunit ribosomal RNA
Source: RNAcentral
GCCCUUAGAGUUUGAUCCUGGCUCAGGACGAACGCUGGCGGCGUGCUUAACACAUGCAAGUCGAACGAUGAUGCCCAGCUUGCUGGGUGGAUUAGUGGCGAACGGGUGAGUAACACGUGAGUAACCUGCCCCUGACUCUGGGAUAAGCGUUGGAAACGACGUCUAAUACUGGAUAUGAUCACUGGCCGCAUGGUCUGGUGGUGGAAAGAUUUUUUGGUUGGGGAUGGACUCGCGGCCUAUCAGCUUGUUGGUGAGGUAAUGGCUCACCAAGGCGACGACGGGUAGCCGGCCUGAGAGGGUGACCGGCCACACUGGGACUGAGACACGGCCCAGACCCUACGGGAGGCAGCAGUGGGGAAUAUUGCACAAUGGGCGAAAGCCUGAUGCAGCAACGCCGCGUGAGGGAUGACGGCUUCGGGUUGUAAACCUCUUUUAGUAGGGAAGAAGCGAAAGUGACGGUACCUGCAGAAAAAGCACCGGCUAACUACGUGCCAGCAGCCGCGGUAAUACGUAGGGUGCAAGCGUUGUCCGGAAUUAUUGGGCGUAAAGAGCUCGUAGGCGGUUUGUCGCGUCUGCUGUGAAAUCCCGAGGCUCAACCUCGGGCUUGCAGUGGGUACGGGCAGACUAGAGUGCGGUAGGGGAGAUUGGAAUUCCUGGUGUAGCGGUGGAAUGCGCAGAUAUCAGGAGGAACACCGAUGGCGAAGGCAGAUCUCUGGGCCGUAACUGACGCUGAGGA